This 659-nucleotide long non-coding RNA is filed under the name Callithrix jacchus (white-tufted-ear marmoset). Its description in RNAcentral is "lncRNA (ENSCJAG00000077761.1)". Lineage: Eukaryota; Metazoa; Chordata; Mammalia; Primates; Cebidae. The record is from RNAcentral.
GGCGAGAGCUUAGCAUCAAAUAGGUUUAGACCUCACAAAGGCAUUCGUGACAACAAACAGGAAGUAAAAUGUACAGAUAUGUAACAAUAUGUACAGAUAUGUAACAUGUACAGAUAUGUAACAAUAUGAGACAUUACUACAGUAUGUCUGUAUUUACAAGGUCGACUGCAUUAUGCAGUAUAGAAAAUUGGUCUACUUGUAAAUGUUACGUCACAACUAGACGUGGCAGUCUGCAAGCCAGGAAGAGGGCCCCUACCAAGAAUUCAGCCAUACUGGUACCCUGAUGGUGUGCUGCCCAGCCUCCAUAACUGUGAGAAUAAUUGUCUGUUGCGUAAGCCACCCAGUCUGUGGUAUUUUGUCAUAGCAACCAAGUAGACUAAUAUAAGAAAAAAACCUAUAAGCCUGCUCUGUCCAAUAUGGUAGUCAUCAGCUGCCAAUUGUGAUUAUUGAGUGCUUGACAUAUGGCUGAUCUAAAUUGAGAUGGGCUGUAGGUGUAAAGUACAGAGCAGAUCUCAAAGACUUAGAUGAAAAAAGAAUGUAAAAUAUCUCAUUAAUUUUCUACAUUGAUUACAUGUUGAAAUAGUCAUAGUUUGUACAUAUUGAAUAAAUUAAAAUAUUUUUAUUAAAAUCCGUUUCUUUAGUUUUUUUGUUGUUGUAUA